Molecule: long non-coding RNA, 775 nt
Organism: Trematomus bernacchii (emerald rockcod)
Lineage: Eukaryota; Metazoa; Chordata; Actinopteri; Perciformes; Nototheniidae
Exons: 3
Source: RefSeq, a predicted model, not a curated record
GGAGGAGCAAGGCCAAGAAGAACGCACCUGCUGUAAGGGUGCCCACCUGCGAAUGGCUCCAUGGAGAGGCCUUUCGGUAGCGGAAGACUCAGGUGUCCUCUGGCUGCGCUGGCCUCUUUGAAGGCUUCCCCUCUAUAAUGGAAUCACUACAAACACUUCCUGGACAAAGCACGAAGAAGCACUAAUUCCACACUGAUAAGGAUCAGUCUUCCUCUCAUUUCAUAAGUCUUCCACCAGAUACAAAGCUGUGCUAGAUAAGAUGUGUCCUUCCUCCCCCAAUCCCCUGUAACACAAAAGUCCUUACAAGACCCAAGAUGAAAAAAAAGAAAGAAUUACUUUAAUUGCUAUUCAAGUGCGUGUGAACAAGGGGGAGGGCUGCACAUUGAGGUGGAGACUUUUUUCUAUUACUACAAAAGAAAAAAAUCUUCAAAAAAGGGAAACGUGUAUCAUAUUGAGGAAGACAGGCCGAAGGUCACCUCUAAUAUCUGUUAAAUUCAGAGUUGUCAUAUGUGUCAGAGAUUUUCCUCUUCCUGUCUAAACUAACAUAGGCGGAUGUUAGUUAUGAUAAUAAAAUGUGCAUGCAGGUGUGAGCUGACUUUCUUUGCUUCUUGUCUAAUGAAGAGGUUUUAAAACACACCCACUUUAAAUGCAUUUCAUCUACGAAGACGGUUUUGCUUUAAAGUUUUAUGCAAAUGUUCUUAACGAUUUAUUAUAUUAAUUCAUAUUUUCUCCAAGUACAUGUAAAAUAAAAUGUCAAUGUGUUGGUGUUUUUCGU